Molecule: ribosomal RNA, 253 nt
Filed under: uncultured bacterium
Lineage: Bacteria
Description: partial 16S ribosomal RNA
Rfam family: Bacterial small subunit ribosomal RNA
Source: RNAcentral
UACGUAGGGUGCAAGCGUUAAUCGGAAUUACUGGGCGUAAAGCGUGCGCAGGCGGUUUGUUAAGACAGAUGUGAAAUCCCCGGGCUUAACCUGGGAACUGCGUUUGUAACUGGCAAGCUAGAGUGUGGCAGAGGUGGGUGGAAUUCCUAGUGUAGAGGUGAAAUUCGUAGAUAUUAGGAAGAACACCGGUGGCGAAGGCGGCCCACUGGCUCGAUACUGACGCUGAGGUGCGAAAGCGUGGGGAGCAAACAGG